AGAAAUAGGCCACCGUAACUGUCAGCUUUUCUUCUCCUCGGUAAUGUUUACAUGACGCUCUCCCCUGUUCUGCCAGGAAUGUGGGCCGCAGUGUGGGAAGUAAUGCUAGGCUUAAGGUUGGACUUACUGCCUGUUGACUGUGCAACUUUGGAGAUCUUGCAGUCUGAGACUUGCAGAGGACGAAGGCCCAUGUUAACAGAUUACAGCUAUGGCAGAAAGCCCUGCUUUUGGAACUGCCUUUGUAAACACUUAUAAAUUAUUUGUGCAGAUGGCAGUCAUCCUCUGUGACUAUGAAGACUGAUUUGAAUUUCCAAAAUGGCCAGACUGCAUGGAGAAUCAUUUAAAAAGUAAAGCAUGAUUAUGAAGUAGUAAGGUUUGUAUUUUUUCAUACUGCUGGUCAAACACUUCCUCUGGAGGGACAGCCAGAAAAGGAGCCACGAUGGUCUUUUAAUAUUUAUUAUAGUAGUAGAAUCACACAUAAGGAUAAGUGAGAGUAUUAGAGAGGGCAUUUGGGAUGCCAGGACUCCAUUUCCUAAAAAUUGCUAAUGCCUAUCACCAGGGCAUAAUGCAAUCUGCACCUAGGCUCUGGAAGGAAGUUUGGCAGGAAGUUAUCAACACAAACCCCAUUAGCCAUAGAGUUCAGCAGGUGUGAACAAAUGCUGACACCUCUCCAUGAUGGUGCAUGGAGCACGUGUGAGCAAACUCUCCACGAUGGCCACUGCCCAUGCUUUUUGCUCUGACCUUUUCAGAGUCAUUUCAGCUCCUACACUCAUGUUUAGAUCACAAGGUUCCAGAUGUGUCCACAUCAUAUUCUAUGCUUCAGAGAUAUUUUUUAAACAGCAGUUUUCUAAGAGUUAAGAAAGGAGGUAAUUCUAAAGAAUCCACUCCAAAACUACUAGAUCUAAUAUCUGAAUUCAGCA
Molecule: long non-coding RNA, 920 nt
Organism: Manis javanica (Malayan pangolin)
Lineage: Eukaryota; Metazoa; Chordata; Mammalia; Pholidota; Manidae
Source: RefSeq, a predicted model, not a curated record